This 248-nucleotide unclassified non-coding RNA is filed under the name Pleosporales sp. RNAcentral describes it as "partial contains 5.8S ribosomal RNA, internal transcribed spacer 2, and large subunit ribosomal RNA". The record is from RNAcentral. Lineage: Eukaryota; Fungi; Ascomycota; Dothideomycetes; Pleosporales.
CGCACAUUGCGCCCCUUGGUAUUCCGGGGGGCAUGCCUGUUCGAGCGUCAUUUAAACCCUCAAGCCCAGCUUGUUUAUGGGUGCUUGUCCCGCCUCUCGCGCGGCGACUCACCUCAAAAUCAGUGGCAGCCCGCACCCGCAGGCCGUGAGCGCAGCACAGAAGCGCCCAAGGCACCAGCAGGUCGGCUCUCCAGAAGCCCAUUUCCACUUUUGACCUCGGAUCAGGUAGGGAUACCCGCUGAACUUAA